Non-coding RNA from Solanum lycopersicum (tomato), 163 nucleotides. RefSeq annotates it as microRNA MIR390a. The record is from RefSeq and is marked provisional. Lineage: Eukaryota; Viridiplantae; Streptophyta; Magnoliopsida; Solanales; Solanaceae.
AGAGAUCAACUAUGAAUGUUGUUCUUGUGGAAAUGGCAUGGGGAAUCUAUAAAGCUCAGGAGGGAUAGCACCAUGAAUACAUCUUAAUGGCUAUCUAUAGCGCUAUCCAUCCUGAGUUUUAUGGCUUCUUCAUGCUCGCUUUUGGUGCUUCAUGUUGAUCUUU